AAUAAAAGCAGAAAAAAAAUAAAAAAAAUAGAAUGAAGACUCAGAGAAAGAAAGAGAGAAAGAGAAACGGAGAAUGAUAGAAUUCACUGAAAUAAAUCAAUAUUCUCUCCCAUUUACUUAUUAAAGGUGGUGACUGGAGAAAUAGUAAUUUGCCGUAAAGAGGAACUGUUCGAACUUGAUGACUGCGAAUUUGGAGCUUGCAAAGAGUUGUGUUUAGAGAGGGGCAGAGGGCCAUGGAUCUGCAAAUUGUAGUAGCUACUACAGAAUGCCAAGGAACUAACGUUUGUAGCUUCAAAUAUUAUUGCCCACAAUGGAACAAAAAAAUAGAUAUUUAAAUAAUCGGUCCUCUUAGGCUAUUUUUAUUUCUGAGAAUAGAAUAAGAUAUGAAAGAUAAAAUAAGACAUUGAGAAUAAAAUAUUAAGAAUAGAGACACAAAAUUUAGUAUUUUUGUAUUCUAUUUGGUAAUAAAUUAAAAUAAAUUAUAAAAA
Arachis ipaensis is the source of this 488-nucleotide non-coding RNA. Lineage: Eukaryota; Viridiplantae; Streptophyta; Magnoliopsida; Fabales; Fabaceae. The record is from RefSeq and is a predicted model, not a curated record.